This 360-nucleotide non-coding RNA is filed under the name Duganella sp. Root198D2. Its description in RNAcentral is "cspA thermoregulator". It matches the Rfam family "cspA thermoregulator", at positions 91 to 428 of the family's 428-position model. The record is from Rfam by way of RNAcentral. Lineage: Bacteria; Pseudomonadati; Pseudomonadota; Betaproteobacteria; Burkholderiales; Oxalobacteraceae.
CAUUGUGCAGUUCUGUACAUGCCGGUAAGAAGUGAGUUGUCGAGGAGGGGGCAGGAAGCUUCUUGCUUUUAUGGCUCGUGUGAUUCGUUUUUAAUGAAGGUUUUUUUAAUAUGGCAACUGGUACCGUUAAGUGGUUCAAUGACUCCAAAGGUUUUGGCUUCAUCACUCCUGAUGAUGGCGGUGAGGAUUUGUUCGCGCACUUUUCCGCUAUUAACAUGAACGGCUUCAAGACCCUGAAAGAAGGUCAAAAAGUGCAGUUCGAAGUCACGCAAGGCCCUAAAGGCAAGCAAGCUUCCAACAUCCAAUCCAGCUAACCCUGGCCUCGGAUCAGCAAAAGCCCCGCCCUGCGGGGUUUUUUUU